ACGGGGCCCGCACAAGCAGCGGAGCGUGUGGUUUAAUUCGAUGCUACACGAAGAACCUUACCCGGGUUUGACAUGCAAGUGGUAGUGAUCCGAAAGGUGAACGACCCGCAAGGGAGCUUGCACAGGUGCUGCAUGGCUGUCGUCAGCUCGUGUCGUGAGAUGUUCGGUUAAGUCCGCUAACGAGCGCAACCCUCGCUGUAUGUUACAUGUGUCAUACAGGACCGCCGGUAUCAAGCCGGAGGAAGGUGGGGAUGACGUCAAGUCCGCAUGGCCUUUAUGUCCGGGGCUACACACACGCUACAAUGGUCGGUACAAUGGGUUGCUAAGCCGCGAGGUGGAGCCAAUCCCCCAAAGCCGGCCUCAGUUCAGAUUGCAGGCUGCAACUCGCCUGCAUGAAGCUGGAGUUGCUAGUAAACGCGCGUCAGCUAUAGUGCGUUGAAUACGUUCUCGGGCCUU
RNAcentral lists this ribosomal RNA (456 nucleotides) under uncultured Anaerolineaceae bacterium. RNAcentral describes it as "bacterial SSU rRNA". It matches the Rfam family "Bacterial small subunit ribosomal RNA", at positions 916 to 1381 of the family's 1533-position model. The record is from RNAcentral. Lineage: Bacteria; Bacillati; Chloroflexota; Anaerolineae; Anaerolineales; Anaerolineaceae.